AUUAGAUACCCUGGUAGUCCACGCUGUAAACGAUGAUUACUAGGUGUGGGUGGACUGACCCCAUCCGUGCCGGAGUCAACACAAUAAGUAAUCCACCUGGGGAGUACGGCCGCAAGGCUGAAACUCAAAGGAAUUGACGGGGGCCCGCACAAGCAGUGGAGUAUGUGGAUUAAUUCGAUGCAACGCGAAGAACCUUACCAGGUCUUGACAUCCCGCUAACGAGGCAGAGAUGUGUCAGGUGCCCUUCGGGGAAAGCGGAGACAGGUGGUGCAUGGUUGUCGUCAGCUCGUGUCGUGAGAUGUUGGGUUAAGUCCCGCAACGAGCGCAACCCUUAUGGUUAGUUGCUACGCAAGAGCACUCUAGCCAGACCGCCGUUGACAAAACGGAGGAAGGUGGGGAUGAUGUCAAAUCAUCAUGCCCCUUAUGACCUGGGCCUCACACGUACUACAAUGGCCAUUAACAGAGGGAGGCAAAGCCGCGAGGCAGAGCAAAACCCUAAAAAUGGUCUCAGUUCGGAUCGCAGGCUGCAACCCGCCUGCGUGAAGUUGGAAUUGCUAGUAAUCGCGGAUCAGCAUGCCGCGGUGAAUACGUUCCCGGGCCUUGUACACACCGCCCGUCACACCAUGGAAGUCGGUAAUGCCCGAAGUCAGUAGCCUAACCGCAAGGGGGGCGCUGCCGAAGGCAGGAUUGAUGACUGGGGUGAAGUCGUAACAAGGUAAC
Molecule: ribosomal RNA, 720 nt
Filed under: uncultured bacterium
Lineage: Bacteria
Description: bacterial SSU rRNA
Rfam family: Bacterial small subunit ribosomal RNA
Source: RNAcentral